RNAcentral lists this long non-coding RNA (4251 nucleotides) under Sus scrofa (pig). Its description in RNAcentral is "lncRNA (ENSSSCG00045007827.1)". The record is from RNAcentral. Lineage: Eukaryota; Metazoa; Chordata; Mammalia; Artiodactyla; Suidae.
UUUUUUUUUUUUUUUUUUCACACUGGCAGCUUAUGGGAGUUCCCUGGCCGGUGAUCGAACCUGAAACACAGUGGUGACAAUGUGGAUCCUUAACCCACUGAGCCACCAGGGAACUCCUCUAAUGUGUUUUCAUAAUGAGGUGUUUUUUUUGUUUGUUUGUUUGUUUUUGCUUUUUAGGGCCUCACCUGCGACAUAUGGAAGUCCCCAGGCUAGGGGUCAAAUCAGAGCUACAGCUGCUGGCCUAUACCACAGCCACAGCAACACGGGAUCCAAGCUGCAUCUGCGACCUUCACCACCACUCACAGCAACACCAGGUCCUUAACCCACUGAGCAAGGCCAGGGAUCGAACCUGCAUCCUCAUGGAUCCUAGUCAGAUUUGUUUCCGCUGCACCACAAUGAGAACUCCAUAAAUUUCUUUAAAGUGCUUAUUUAUCCAUCCAUUUAUUCUGUAACGAUUAUUCCUUUACAAUUAUUACACUUAUUCCUUUACAACUGCCUAUUCUGAUAUGUUCCUAUCAUCUGCCAGACGUGGUUCUCAGCCUUGGUGAUAAGAUAAAGAGGACCCAUCCGAGGCAUUCACCGUGUGGUUGCGAAGACAUUCGGUCGGAUAGUUAUGAAUGCACAUUGACACAAAACACUUUAGGAGCCCUGAGGCUUAUCUUCAUGGCCAUUUAGGGCAUCGACGAAGCCUUCGAGGAGGAGCUGAGUGGACAUAAGUAACGAAUCAAACCAGGACCUUAGGAGAGGAACAGAUAGAAAUCUGGUGAGAGAAAUCUUAAGCAAGUUCACUGGACCUCUCCGGGCCUUAGUUUCUUGGUCUGCAAAUUGGGAGUAAUAACAACAUCUGCCUUUGGAGAUGAUUGUGAAAGUGAGAUGAUUGUGAAGAGUGAGAUUGUGUGUGUGGCACAGAGGAGGCACCGUAGCAUGUGCCAGAAAAAGGUAUGACAAGAGUGACAUUGUAGUACCGUCUGCCAUACGAAUCGGACACAUCUGUAUCGGGCACCUCACAUGCAGCACAUCUUCGUGCUGACUGGGUCCUGGGCAGGAGACCGGCAAUUGGUCCAGAGGCGCCAUGAGGGUGAAAUGAGGUUGGCAGGAAGGAACGUUUGGGACAGGGAGAGUCGCCAUCCGGACAAAUUGGGUCCAUUCUCUAGACGUGGUUUGGACAAAUUGAACCACGUGAAGGAUAUGAGCAGCAGGAAUGGGUUCCUCUUCUCUUUUCUGGACCCUAGUGCACCUUUUCUUUUGUGCUGUCACCUGGCUCCACGCCUCCCGCAGUGGUGGCCCUGUCUUUCCCUGCCCCCGGGGCCUCUUCUGGUUCUGCCCAUCUAUACAAGUCCAGGCUUUCCUUGAACCACUCUCUGGACUGGCAAUGCCAAUGGAAAUCCCUAGGUUGGGAAACACAUCUGCCUUAUGGACCAGGGUGUGCCUGAUGCUGGCCAGAGGAAACAAGCCCAGUGAAUCUCCACGGAGGAAAAGGAGCUUAUUCAGGGUGGAUUUCCACUCACCCUAAAGGAGCGAAAUGGAGUCAAACUUUGAGUUGCUUCUGGGAAGCAAUUGCCUGGCCAGAGACUACAUUUCCCAGCCUCCCUUGCACGGAUGUGGGACUAUGGACUAGCUCUUAUCAGUGAAACAAGAGCAGAGCUGAAGAGGUGCCAGCUCUUUUCCCAUCUGCCUCCUGGGAACACAGAGGUAGCACAGGAAAGAAUGUGUGGGCUCGGGGCCGGGCUCCACACAGGGCAGACACACUGAUGUCCGGGAGAGCCUGGAGGGGUGCUUCCACUCAGCUGGCUGAACUCCGACAACAGGAACCAGAUCUUCAAUUCUGCCUCAUCUACAAUCCUGUGCUGACGCUUAGAAAGUGCCCAGUGUGCGCUCAGUGAAAGAAUAAAACCAUCAGAAAGGAUCCGGAGAACGUCAGCCUAGUGAAACCCUGGGUAAUUCAUGGUAGAGGGAUGCUGUAUUCCAGGGACCAUGACACCUCACCUUCCGGCUCCUGCAUCCUUCCUGCAGUAUCUAAGGGGACAGUGAGUUUAGAUGCCACUGAUACAAUCCCAACAUCACAGAAUGGAAGGAGUUUGGGUUCCAGAGUAACCAGCCUCGCAGGAGAGCUGCCAGACUUGGCUUGGACAGCGACACGAGGGAGAAACAAACGUAUAUGUGAGAUCGCUGAGGUCAUGUUACCGCGACUGAAGUAAGAUAAGGUGGUGUCCGGAGUAUGGGGUCUGGAGCUUGACUACCUGGAUUCAAAUCCCUGCUCAGUCAUCUCUUGGCUGUGUGACUUAAGAUGAGAAGAUACAUCUGCUUCUGCUUCUAAGAGUUGGUGAUUCUCAUCCUUCUCUCUGCACUUGCCCUUGCCGUGUCCUUGGUCAGCACAGAGGAAGGACAACAGCCCAUCUCCCUCACAUCGGAAGUGGCUCCACAAGUUGGCCUUCACUGCCAUCAACCCUAACAGGUGUGGUGCUCUAUCUCCACAGUCCUCCAGAGCGCCCUCAAGUCCCUCAGGGUGUCUUUACUCCAAGAAGGGGUUCUAGACUAGACAAGCAGAGGUGUUGCAGAAAGGAAGAUACUGCAAAGGAUUCAGGCAGCAAAGGGUGUGCUCCCCACACUGGGGAAGACAUCUGGGCAGAAGGGCCUGGGCUGGACCUCACAUCCAUCCCUCUUCCCUUGGGGUCCUUGACCACCCUUGAGAAUGGCACCUACAUGCUCUAAUUCUCCAUAAAAUCCAGAGGCAAAAUGUCCCUGCUGUAAAGACCUUGAACCCUUUUUGGGAAGGUUUUAUGAACUUAAUAUCGUGGGUUGCUCUAACCCCAGCCUUUGUCCUGACAGCAUCUGCUCAGGGAGUUUGAGAUUCAGCCAGUCUGUAAAGAGCUUCAGAUCCAGGGCUUUGAGGUGGGGAGAAGUGGUCACCUUGGAGAAAGCAGGAAACUGUGGCCAGCUGGGGCAUUCUUUGCUAUAGAUUCCAAGAGACAAACUUGCUGAUCCCAGGUCAAGUCUGCCCCUGCUUCCCUGCAUCUAGAACCAUCUCUGGCUCCACCUCCCAUUAACACCCCAGAACAGAUUCCCUACCCACCUCCUCAAGAAGAACAUUGCCUCCGGGGAUUUUCUAAGAGUUUUUAGGAUAAGCAGCAGUUAGAAGCUAACAAUAAGUAAAAUUUCCAGAAAUCAAGAGAAACUUGCAAUGUUCCUUGACACUUUAAAUGAUGCACUUGAAACAAGAGGCUUGCAUUAGGAUCUAAAUUAGAGUUCUUGAGUGGCUUUUUGUAUUUUUUCUUUCACGUUAACCUGACUACAACUUUAUCUUCUCCAUUCACUUCCAAGAAGUCCUUAUAUAAUAAAGAGUUGAAGGCUGAAGCCCUUGCUUCCUCAAUAGGGGGCAGGCUCACCAGCUCCAUCUUGUCAGUUACCUCUUAAUGGUUGGUAGGAUGAGGGAAGCUUUCUCAAAAGACAGUUAAAAUAGUGCUUUAAGAAAUCCUCCGCCAAUAAAAAGUUGCUUCCAGAGUUAUAAAGUCAGUUUUCUUAACCUCUCAAUCUCAACUCAACUCAAAUUACAAAGUUUACAUGCCUUUGGGGAUGGCUGUAUUAAGUAAAUAGAGAGGAAUGGUCACAUUCAGUGUAAGCUAAAACACCCAAGGCUGGCAGUAGGAAAAGGAGCUACCUACCUAUCAGGUCUUUCAUAAAGCCAGUCCCUUAAAUAGAAAGAAUAAAGUUCUCUCAAGACUUACCCUAUGGACUGCCUUUCACAGCUGGUUCAUAUUUAUAAGCCAAUUUGUCUGGAAGUAAAUCUCUUUAACACACCCAACUGACUCCAAGAGGUGUGUCCCAUGGGAACCAAUCUUAAAUAACCGUCUCAAGAAAAGUUUUAGCAGCAAUAUUGUCAGUCCUGGAAUUUCCACCUUUGGGGGGGAAAAAAUCAACAAUAGAAUGCUUGGAAAUACAGAAUACACAGAGUUUAGCAAACUGCCAAAUUAAAUUCACACACACACACACAAAUCUGCUAAUACCUAGUUAAAGAGUUGGCAUGGGAAGAAACAGACUUCUCAUUCAAGCCUGAAGCUCGGUAAUGGGUCAUUUGACCUGAAAUAACUUGGGCGGAAGUUGGCCUUAUUGUCUUCCACAAUCUCUUCCCACGCAGUCAAAAAAGGGGAUGCAAUCUUAAGAUUUUUUCUUCCUCAUUCUCUCCCGCCCUUUCUCCUCUCCCUCCCUUUUAUCUUCUCUCUCUCCUUCCUUCCUUCUUUUCUUUCUCUUUCA